GUUAAGUCGACCGCCUGGGGAGUACGGCCGCAAGGUUAAAACUCAAAUGAAUUGACGGGGGCCCGCACAAGCGGUGGAGCAUGUGGUUUAAUUCGAUGCAACGCGAAGAACCUUACCUGGUCUUGACAUCCACGGAAGUUUUCAGAGAUGAGAAUGUGCCUUCGGGAACCGUGAGACAGGUGCUGCAUGGCUGUCGUCAGCUCGUGUUGUGAAAUGUUGGGUUAAGUCCCGCAACGAGCGCAACCCUUAUCCUUUGUUGCCAGCGGUCCGGCCGGGAACUCAAAGGAGACUGCCAGUGAUAAACUGGAGGAAGGUGGGGAUGACGUCAAGUCAUCAUGGCCCUUACGACCAGGGCUACACACGUGCUACAAUGGCGCAUACAAAGAGAAGCGGCCUCGCGAGAGCAAGC
Molecule: ribosomal RNA, 409 nt
Filed under: Escherichia coli
Lineage: Bacteria; Pseudomonadati; Pseudomonadota; Gammaproteobacteria; Enterobacterales; Enterobacteriaceae
Description: bacterial SSU rRNA
Rfam family: Bacterial small subunit ribosomal RNA
Source: RNAcentral